ACUUUAUUGUCCUUGUUUGGGGUUUUCUGUCUUUUUUUUAAUACAGGAAACUGCCAGCAACCAUUUACUCAAACUGUGACCAGAGCAGCUAAAAUCAUGUGUGAUUAUCCAGAUGUUGAAUUCAUGUCUGGGGUCAAGUUUUUCUGCAGAGGGGAGGAUUUCACCUGUAAGGAUAUUUUGUCAACAAAAGUUCUGACGUUAAACGAGAAAUUCAGACUCACAAACACCAACAGAGGCUUCGACGUGUCCAUCAGGGAUGUUUCCUCACAGGACGCCGGUGUCUACUGGUGUGGAGUGGAAUCAAAUGGUGGAAGCUACAAAGCUUCAAUCAGACAAAUAAAACUGGUGAUUGAAGAGCCAUCAACAGCAUCACCAACUUUCACACAGUCAGCUGUUGUUCCUCACGUGAGCUCUGAGCCAUCAACAGCAUCACCAACUUUCACACAGUCAGCUGCUGUUCCUCACGUGAGCUCUGGUGUCUUCGAGCUGGUCAUUACUGUAAUGAAGUGUAUAACUGUGCUGGUGCUUCUGGGAGUUUCAAUCCUUAUCUUCAAACGACUGUGUGUCCAAGGAGAUACAGGAGCACCUCCAGCAGCCAGAAGAUGCAGCAAACUCAAUUUGUGUCACUCCCAGCAUUCCCACAGAUGUUGCUGCCUCACCACAUUAUGCUAGCAUCAACUUUCAAAGCUGCUCUGGUAGUGA
Oreochromis aureus is the source of this 702-nucleotide long non-coding RNA. Lineage: Eukaryota; Metazoa; Chordata; Actinopteri; Cichliformes; Cichlidae. The record is from Ensembl.